RNAcentral lists this ribosomal RNA (466 nucleotides) under uncultured bacterium. RNAcentral describes it as "partial 16S ribosomal RNA". It matches the Rfam family "Bacterial small subunit ribosomal RNA", at positions 28 to 507 of the family's 1533-position model. The record is from RNAcentral.
GAUGAACGCUGGCGGCGUGCUUAACACAUGCAAGUCGAACGAUGAAGCCCAGCUUGCUGGGUGGAUUAGUGGCGAACGGGUGAGUAACACGUGAGUAACCUGCCCUUAACUCUGGGAUAAGCCUUGGAAACUGGGUCUAAUACCGGAUAGGAGCGCCUACCGCAUGGUGGGUGUUGGAAAGAUUUAUCGGUUUUGGAUGGACUCGCGGCUUAUCAGCUUGUUGGUGAGGUAAUGGCUCACCAAGGCGACGACGGGUAGCCGGCCUGAGAGGGUGACCGGCCACACUGGGACUGAGACACGGCCCAGACUCCUACGGGAGGCAGCAGUGGGGAAUAUUGCACAAUGGGCGGAAGCCUGAUGCAGCGACGCCGCGUGAGGGAUGACGGCCUUCGGGUUGUAAACCUCUUUCAGUAGGGAAGAAGCGAAAGUGACGGUACCUGCAGAAGAAGCACCGGCUAACUACGUG